GCUAGUGAGUGUCCAAACCGGAGGAACGUGAUCCUAAGGGAGGGAAAAUUGUACUAUCUUGGGGAAAAAGUGGUGAUUGAAUCGACUAAGGUUGAUAGCGAGCCUCAAUAUGGAGAGCAUGACGACGUUGAAAUGCGAAGUGAGGAAGAUGGAGAAGUGGUUUGGCCGUGUGAUGGAGAUUAUGAAGUGUCUUAGUAAAAGAGGUGAGGUCGUGAAAUUGUGGGAAAAUUCCUCUCAAGAUGGAGAGGAUGAUACAAGUACGAUCAUGACCAUGGACACUUUUUGAGUAUUUUGAAGACCACCUAAAAGAGUGCACAAGUCCAAGUGUUAAAGAGGCCAAAACCAUCCUAAGGAGCACUCAAUGGGCGGCCAUUUUGAAAACUAGUCAUUAAAAGGUCUUUUAGUCUUUUGUCUCUAAUUUUUGUAAUGUAAUAUAAAUAGAACCUUGUAGGGUUUUAGUUCCUUAGUUUUUGAAUGUUAUUGAAAGAAACUCCUCUAUAGAGAGUGAGAGCAACCGUAACUAGGGUGAUGCUAGUGUGGAAUCACUAGUAUUGCAAAACUUGGUUAGAAACCUUGGUGCUUGAGGGGUUAAUGCCCUCGUGUCAUGGUAAGAGUGUAGGUGUUUAUCAUCGCAUGUUGUUUGUGUUUUGGUGUUUAAGAUACACCUUAGUGCUUAGAACGUGUAGUGAUUUAUGUCACACUAUCUUACUUUCUUGUACUCGUUUCCCCUUGUUUGUAGUAAAACCGUGUUUUGUUGUUCCUUGGUUGUUGUUGUCAUCUUGUUAAUCUAGUUUGUUAUUGGCUGAAGUUGGUGUUAAACACCCUUGUUCAUUCGUGUUGUUCUUGUUGUAGCUGCUGCCAAGACAAGCUCUAGCUUGGUCCUCGGUUUGUUCAUCUUUGUGGACUGUUUUUGUACCGUUGUGUGUUCUUGGGGUGUUUGGUAUCAAUCCAGGUAUGAGUAUUUAUAACAGAAACGCAACCCGUUGUACUACAAGUUUGGCACUAGAAGUGGAAAGGGGUAAACAACCCCAAAAAGGUAAUAAGAAUGAUUCAAUUCUCAAAAAAGAAAAAGUUAAUUUCCAUUUAUUUGAGACAGGCCGACCGGUGUUAUUUUGUGGUAAGGCAGUAACAGAGGUUUCCUACUAACUCGAACCAAAUCAAGUUUUGCCCCACAGGUAGAAAACAAUCAAUCCUUGCUCAUGGUUUGAGUGGAAGAUGGCGUAUGCUAAUUCAAAUCGGUGUAAAACAAUAUUUACACAAUCAGGCUAUUUAAAAGUCAACUAAAAAUGGCUUUCUACUAUACACAGGUUGUUAUAAUCUUAACAAGAGAGGUAACACCCAUCGCCAAUUAAAUUAUUGCGGAGGGGAAAACACGUUGACAACGACGUCUAAGGCAGCAGAAAGAAUUUAUCAACCAACCAUAUUUUGAAUACUGCCAUAGCAAACAUUGAAUAUGUGGCUACCUCCUUAAAUCUGAACAAAUGAACAAAGCUUGAAAGAAAAUGAAUACAAUUGUUAACCUAUCUACCAAGUUGUGAAUAUUACAGGGAUUUAACAAUGUAGUUGAUUUCUAUUCAAGCUUCUCAAAAGAAUACUGUCAACAUCUGGGCACCUGAGCUCAUUUAAAAAUUCAGCAACAAGAAUCUUCUGGAAUGUCUUAGGUAUAUAACCGUAGCACUGCAAGGCCAACAGCGGAGAUAGAGACAAGAGUACCUAUACAGUAUUUAAUCACUUCAUAUUUUGCAGCUUCAAUUUGCGCCCUCAAUGCAUGAAUUUCCUAUACAUGGACCAAGCAUCAGAAAUAGAGAAGAUACUCACAAGAUGCAUUGAGUUUAUAGAACGUUCACGCUCAAAAUACACGCAAAAGCCAACACUUACUCGAUCAAGCUUAUUUGUAAGAUUUGUAGUUUCUGCAUUUUGAUUGGCAAGCUCAUCACGGAUGCGUCUACACAAUUUAGAAUAACCGCAAUCAAUCAUCGGAGAGUUGAAAAAUGAACAACCUAAUCAUUCACUAACAUCUAAAGCUUUUCAAACCUUACCCUCUUUCAAGAUUUAAAUCCAACCGUUGGCCGGCAGUAAGCUUGUCAACCUCAUACCUGCAUGAACAAAUAAUAUUGGUUAAUCUGGCACUCAAAAGUAAGACUCAUUUUUCCUAUAAUUCAAUUGUACCUUAGUUCACUACGCAUUUUUUCUAUGUCAUUCCGAAGUUUUUCAGUUUCACGUUGCAGCAGUGAAAAAUGAUGUUCCUGCAACAAAAAUUGUUUAAUUGGUAUGAAUUCCAUAUGUCAAACUCAAACCAACGCCGUUCAGGGGUAGAACAAAAACAUAUAUUAGUACAACCAUAAUGCAAUAAUCAUCAGGCCAACAUACUGAGUUUGAAGUAAAUUUUCCUCCUUAAGCACACAAUGUUAACGAAAUUUCGGUAAGGGUUAGAUCCCUGCAAGAGUGAAUCUGAAUUGACAUCUGUUCUCCCAUCUGUCUUAUACUGCGUUGAACACAAUAUUGUCAUAUAGGCAAGGCUGAAAUUUCGCCCAAGCAAUUAUAAUUACCAUAUAUGCCAUCAGUAACACUUAUCUCACUUUCAAAAAGUUUCGGAGUAUUGUUUAAAAGAAAAAGAAAAUUAGUCUUGUGCUGAUGAUUUCCAACAUCCUGAAUUAGUCAAAGAAAUAAGCUGAUUGCUCCUAAAAGAUGCUUCCUGGUAAAUGAACCAAAACAAACUAUUGAAAUAUCUUUGAAAAGGUUGUCUCAAAGCAGGCAAUCAAUUUGACUCGCUGACACAAAUCAAAAUUCUAAAUACUUAUGUCAUUCUUCUUUUACUUCAUUUUCUGGACCAUUUUGAACUUUUUUCUCUUGAACCGAGGGUCUAUCGGAAACAGCCUCUCUACCCGAGGUAGAGAUAAGGUUUGCGUACAUCCUACCCUCCCAGACACUACUUUGUGGGAUUAUACUAGGUAUGUUGUUGUUAUUAAUGUCAUUUUUAUCUGGGGUGACCAACUAGCUUUUUAGGCUGCAACUCCUCUUUUAAGGAAUAUGCAGCUAUCAGAGCUGAGCCAAAGCUCCCUUCACAACCAACUAGUUUUAAUUUUGGUUCUUGGUUGAUAAAGUAAUAAUUACAAGAAAGAUCCAGCUGACCUAACCCAUUCAUUUGAUCUAAAAAUUUUACUUCAUCCUUUUUUUCUAUUAGUAAUUGCUUCUUCAUACAACCGGGUUAGGAUCAUAUCAUGCCUUUAAAGUAAAGAAUAACCAUUGUAGAUCUGUAUUACAGUUCUACUUUUUUUUUCUUUUGGGAACAUAUGAGAGAUACGGUUAGAUACGAAGGGUAGGACAGGGACAUUGUGCUGGGAGAGUUGGAGCACUCCAAGAGACAGCAGGUUUUUGGGUAUUGUAGGUCUAUAAAGGUUGAUGAGCUCAGCGUGUUAUUCAUAAGAUGAGCUGGGGAAGAACGACAAGGCAAGACAAGAUUCUGAUGGACUUUGACGAACAUUGGCAUUGAAGACUUGGAUUGGCUGACUGGGUUGUUUAGUGCCAUUUUUAGGGUAGCAAAGAUGCCUGAAGAAUGGAGGUAGAGUACGAUGACUCCUUCGUACAAUAAGAACAAGGGUGAUAUUCAGAACUGCAACAACUAUAGGGUUAUCAAGUUGUUGAGUUAUACUAAUUGAAAUUGGAGAGGGUGGUAGAGAUGAGAGUGAGCAGGGGUGUCUCCAUUACCGAGAACCAUUUCGGAUUCCUACGGGGACGAUUUACCACAAAAGUCAUCCACCUUGUGAGGAGAUUGGUGGAGCAGUAUAGGAAGAGGGAUUUACAUAUAGUGUUUAUUGAUCUAGAAAAGGCAUACGACAGUUUCAACGGACGCUCUAUGGAAUGCUUGGAGGCUGCCUGUGGCGUACGGCCGUACACUAGGGUGAUUAAGGACAUGUACGAUGGAGCCAAGAUGGAGCCAAGACAAGGCAAGGCGAGACUCUGAAAACUUACAAAUCAUGAUAGGGUUGCACCAGGGGUUAGUUCUUAGUCCAUUUAAAAUCUUUCUGCAUUGGUUAUGGAUGAACUAACGCGUCAUAUCCAAGAUAAAGUUCCAUGAUGUAUGUUAUUCGUAGAUGACAUGGUAUUGGUUAAUGAGACUAGUAGUGGUGGCCACGCUAGGUUGGAAGUUGGGAGACAAACACUGCUAAGGGUUCAGGUUGAGGAGUCUUAUGUGAUAAGGCGCAAUGUUGACCUCUAAAGAACGCUCGUAUUUAGAAGGUGAAUGUCACAGAGAUGAGGAUGUUGUGGUGGAAGUUCGGACAUACUAGGAGAGACGAGAUUAAGGAUGAAAGAUAUUCUGGACAAGGAAGGAGUGGCCUCCGUGUUGGACAAGAUAAUUGGAAACGAGGUUGAGAUGGCAUGUGAUGAGAAGUGUAGAUUCCCCAUAAGGAGGUGUGAACGGUUGGCCUUGGCGAACAUCAAAAGAGGCAAAGGCAAGUCGAAGAAGUAUUGGGGACAAGUGAUUAGACAAAACAUGACACGUCUUGAUCUUACCGAGGAUGACCUUAGAUAGGAGCGUUUAGAGGUAGCGAAUUAAGAUAGAAGGCUAGUUAGCAGUUCAGCGUUCUCUCACUUCCCUGUGCGAGAGAUUUGGUAGCCAUACUUGGACCUUCCUCCUUACUAGUAGUAUUGGAACUAUUCUUGUACUUUCUUGAUCUUUGAUUUAGACUUUCGCUGGUGUUGUUUCGUGCGCCGUUAUUGCAUUAGCUCAUUUUCAUUACUAUUCUUAUUGUGUUACACUCCAUUUCACAUUUAUUUGUUGUUGUUAUGCUCCCAUAUUUGUAUGCCCUUAUUCCAAAUUGUUUGACAGACUUUAUCUAAGAUGAGAGUCUAUCAAAAACAACCUCUAUCUCUAUGAUGUAGGGGUAAGAUCCGCGUACAAUCUACCCUCCCCAGAUUCCACUUGUGGGAUUACACUGGGUAUGUUGUUGUUGUUUGAUUAGAUUAAAUCCGAGCAGACAAGGUGAUGAGGUACUCUAAAAUCCAAGUGAACACUAAGCCUUCUUCCUGAGCAAUGCAGCUUCUUAUAAAUUAAUCAUCUUCCGGAUGCUGUUACAAGUGUCAAAAGCUGACGGAUCAAACUUAAAAUUUUCAACACCUUAUCUCUCUCUACAAUAUAGCCUGAUAUUUUUGAUUGAUUAUCCAAAGUAGAGGAUGAUACUUGUAAUAGGGCAACACAACGAUAGAUUCAUCUCUACUUGAAGCUGAUCUUUUUCAAGUUUCUUUAGCAAUUGCCUUUGCUCCUUAAUAGAGGCUCUUUGACGAUCUAAAUCAUUGAUCUCAUAGGUAUAACUCUAAGCUCUUCUCUUAGCAGUAGCACUCUGGAUCUCUUGUUCCAACUAUUUCUCCAGCUUAUCUAUUUAAGCAUCUGCAGCAACUUCUGCUGUUCUCUGCUUGCAUGCAUUUAUCUUUCCUUCAAUAAUCUUGAAUGGAACUCUGAAGGGCCUGAUACUCAAAGUGGCACUGUGAUGGAAGAGCUUUAGAUUGCUCUAUACACUGUUUCAAGAAGCUGACAUCUUUAUCAUCUUUCAAGAACUGAACAAGAUUGUAACUGAAGAACAGUUUCUCCACAUCCACGUUACUGGACCCAUCCACCAUUGUCCACUAAGAGAAAUGAGUCUGUAUUACAAUUCUACUUAAAUGGCAGUAUAGCCAAAACGUAUAUCACUGAUUUGAUGUCUCCAUUUUCAAGCACCCAUAUGAAUCUGCUUGACGUUGCUUCUUGGCAAAGGCGGAGUCGGGAUUUCAACUAAGGGGGUUCAAUAUUUGAAGAAAACAUAGUGAAGGGGGUUCAACAACUACUAUAGAUACAUAAAAAUUAACUUUAAUCAUGUAUAAAUAAUAUAUUUUCCAUCGAAGGGGGACCAAAGAGCUAGCUCCGCCCCUGCAUCUUGAAAGGGAAUAACCUCCUCAAUUAAAAGAAGAAAUAUCUCUGAUGAUAAGAGUUAUGCUCUUUUUAAGCAAACAGCGGCAAAAUUGUAGGACGUUAUGGAAUGUUACACAAUAAAUCUUCUUUGGUAAAUCAUCAUAAAACAGAAUUUGAAAGAAUCCACAUUAAAUUACAGUCUCUUACUCUUUCUCCUAAUGGGAUUUACUUAUGAAAGAACAAGCUUCUUCAGUAAAUCAUCACAAAACAGACUAGAAAGAAUCCAUAUUAAAUCACAGUCUCUUACUCUUGCUCCUAACGAGAUUUACUUAUGGAAGAAGUAAAUGUUCAUAUGAUUCAUGCCUAGUUUGUGAAAAUGAUAAAUGUGUCCAUUUUCAAUCAACUUCUAGCACAACCUCUUUACUGAAAGGAAUCUGGUGCAUACUGUAAUGAAUACUUCUUAAUCCAACACAGAAGGAUGAAGGGUCGACUUAAUUGCCUUUUGAAAUUGUAAUAUUUCAAACCUAUAAAUGUCAAAUUUGGAAGAAACCCUUCUCCACUCUAACCAGAAGGACAUUUAAAAAUAUUCAAGCAAUUACCGGUAUUAUUCUACUAAGCUUUAACAAUUUCAGCAUCAGCUGAUUUGAAUUUUAAUGUCCCAAUAACGGAGAUCAAGAAAUACACAGAUCAGGUGAUACUUAUAUUACCUGGGCAUGUGAAUUAACGAAAUUUCAUUUUUUUAAUUUGGUUCAAUGAGCUGCCUUAUUUAGGUGGGCAAAUGAAAGUGAGAAAUCUUCAUGAACCAUAAUUUCUGCAAGAAAUGAUAAGAAAACCAUAAAUCCAGCCAAGCCGCAACUAUACUAGUAAUUCUUAAUCAAUAGAUCAAAGGUGCAGUAAUUUAGAUUGGUCUGUAAACCGAACCCCCCACCCCACCCCACCCNNNNNNNNNNNNNNNNNNNNNNNNNNNNNNNNNNNNNNNNNNNNNNNNNNNNNNNNNNNNNNNNNNNNNNNNNNNNNNNNNNNNNNNNNNNNNNNNNNNNNNNNNNNNNNNNNNNNNNNNNNNNNNNNNNNNNNNNNNNNNNNNNNNNNNNNNNNNNNNNNNNNNNNNNNNNNNNNNNNNNNNNNNNNNNNNNNNNNNNNNNNNNNNNNNNNNNNNNNNNNNNNNNNNNNNNNNNNNNNNNNNNNNNNNNNNNNNNNNNNNNNNNCCACCCUCACCCCCACCCACACCCACCCCCACACACACAAAGGAAAGAAAACCCAAAAAGAAUCUAGGAAAAGACGUACAGGUUUAAAGUGAAACCAAUUAGGUGAAUUUACUUCAGAAGCCAAGGCACAUCAAACUCAAUACAAUAACAGAGAGAAUCUCCCCUAACAUCCUGAUGUGGGAGGUAGAAGAAUUAACCAAUAUCCAUUAUACUUGUCAUAUGAUGACAAUAAAAAUACAUAGCUUAUCCUCUUCCCCAUUAUGCCACGUUUUUUGCACCAUGAGCUGACCUCAAUUUUGUAUCCUGUUUUUUUUUUUUUCUUUUCUUUAUUAAUUUUGAUAAUUAACCUUCAUGAAUUCAACAACAGUUUCAUAUCCUUUCACAAGUCACAACAAACUAAAGCUUUUCCUACUGAAGUUAUCUACCUCACAUUUAACAUCACUGAAGAAAAAAAUAUCACUGGUAUGCAUUAUCAUGUCUCCAUCUACAAACUCAUUAAUAAAAGUCACCAAUGGAUUGCUAAGUGAUAAAGGUCUUAACAACAGCUUCCAUCUAAAACUUUUAAAUAAAAGUCAAAGCACCACUGGAUGGCUAAGCAAUAUAGGUCUUAAGAACAGCUUCAAUAUGCUUCUAUUUUUUUCAUUAUGUUGAACAAAUAACUGGAACAACAGCAUGAAUAUGUUCCACGACUAUAUAUAACAGUGUACCCAGCGAGCUUACUCGUCUAACUUGGCAGAGAAAAUCACAUAUAGCAGAUGUGACUAAGGGCAAGCUAAUAACACAUAACCAGAAGAAAUACAUUACCUCCCCCUUGCACAAGACAGAGAAUACCUAGACGCACAACUAACACAGCUUCAUGACAAUUUUGUACCUGAGAGCUUUGUACUUCAGACUUAAACUUGGAAAGGCUGGCUUCUUGAACCAUCUCAGACUACAUAAGCAAAAAUGCACAAAAUAAUUAUUCAACAUAGUGGAGAUGGGCAUAUUGUUUACAACAUAAGAUCUUGUGUAAAGUCUUACUUUCUGCAUUUCAGCUCGCGAAACAAAAGAAAGAGCUACAUUUUCCAAGCUAUCAUUCAAAACUUCAGUGAUAGCAGAUGUUAUUGCUUCUGCUUGUUCUGAUGGUACACCUCGUGCUUCUAAUCUCCUAACCUGUUAGCAAACCAGAUCUCUAAAUAUAUAUAAUUCAUAUCAACAAAAACAAAUCAGGAGAGGCUCUAGCCUUGCAAAGUGUCCUAGUUUACGGCGACAUGGAUAGUAGCAAAUACACAAACUCAAAAAGAACCAUAAGUUUAGUGGCUUUUCUAUUUGUUUUUAGCUUCAUUUUGAAGGUAUUGGUUUUGAGAAUGACAGAAAAACUACUCUGACUAUGAUUAAAAGGAACAACAUCAAAUAGAUCAAGAUUCAAAUUCAAGUAAUCUUUGGUGGGAAGAUGAAGCAUUCCUCUUUCAGGAAGAAAAGACUGAAAUUAAACAAUUGAAAAGAAAAGAAAAUUUUUGAAGAAGUCACCCUGAAACUCCCCCAAUCCCACUUAAUCAUACUAGUUGUAAAAAAAGAAAAUCACCCAAUCCCACUUAUAGAAAAAGUCCGUAGUCCCAAGUCGAUCAUACCAACACUUAAUUGCUUUAUUGGGUUUGGCAAGCAUCACAUAACCCUUCGACCUGCAACAUUUCGGUAGUCCUAGGCACAAAUUCAAGGUUAAAGACCAACAUGGAAAUAAGUUAUGAGUUCAUAUGAUUAAACAAAAAUAAAACAGGUCUUUGGAGUGAAUACAAUUUUUUUUACUGGUUUUAGGUUCCCCAAGGCCAAUGCAAUUUGAUUUCAUCUUAAUUUUGUAUGUUGUAUGGCGGAGUGUUGGCUAGUCAAGAAUGCUCACAUUAAGGCCAAUGCAAUUUGAUUUCAUCUUAUUUUUAUGUGUUGUAUGGGGGAGUGUUGGCCAAUCAAGAAUUUUCACAUUCAGAGGUUGAAAGUUGCAAAAAUGAGGGCACCGAGUCUGACCUAGUGGUCAAUGAAGUGAAUUGAGAACCUGAGGUCUCAUGUUUAAAUAUGUUUAAAAUACCAGCAGAGACAAAAAAACACUAGGUGAUACUUCCCAUUUGUCCUAGCCUUGGUGGACAAAGUUACUCGAUAUCUGUUGUUGGUGGGAGGUGGCAGGUAUCUCGUGGAUUUAGUCGAGGUGUGAAAGAUGGCCUGAAUACCACGAUUAUCAAAAAAACAAGUUGCAGAAAUGAGUAUGUUAUGGAUGUAUGCACUUACUAGGAGAGAUUGGAUUAAAAAUAAGGAUAUUUGAGACAUGGUUUUUUUUUUUUGGAGGGGGGAAGAUUGAGAUGGUUUGGGUAUAUGGAGGAGAUGUCCGGAUACCCCAGAGCAGAGGUGUGGAAAAUGGCUAUGGAUGAUUUCAAGAGAGGUAGAGGUAGACUAAAGAAGUAUCAGAGGUAAUUAGACAGGACAUGAUGCAACUUACCGAGAAUAUGACUUAAAAUAGGAGAUUGUGGAGGACGAAAAUUAGAGUAGAAGGUUAGAAUGUAGCAGUAUGUUGUCUUGUUAUUCAUCUAUACUAGCAGUCGUAGUAUUGCUACAGCAGUUUUUUGUCCUUCACUCUUUGUUAUUAUUUGUUGUUGCUUGUAUUUCAACUAUUAUAUUAUUUUAUUAUAGAAAUACUAUCUAUUAUUUCUUCUAGUUCUGUUACUUCUUUUUCUGGAGUGCUUUGAAUGAUUUUUCCUUGAGCCGAGGGUUGAUCAAAAACAUCAUCUCUGUCUUUGUGAUAGGGAUAAGGUCUACAUACACUCUACACUCCUCAUAUUCCUUUGUGGGACUAUACUUGGUAUGUUGUUAUUUUCCAUCCAAACAUCUGACUUUUGGAAAUUCUUUCCUUAAACUUCUAAAAAGCAAUUGCUUAGAAAUCCAAUAUAAAAAUAUCAAUAAAAUCAGAAUCCUCUGCUGCAACACGAAAAAUGAUAAAGAAUCUAGACUUUGAAGCAAAACACAACUAACUGGAGACGAAAAGAAUAUGCAUCUACUUGCAUUCCUCCUAAAUUUAGAAAGACAAGGGAAACAAGGCUUUCUCCAUCUCCUUUAUAAACUUCAUAGUUACCAACACAACAGAUUAUCAAUAUCAAUACUCAACAUGCUUCAUCCAUAAUUAGUUGGGAUCAUUUCAUUGCAAUACAACAAAUAAUAAAUAGUCCCCAUGUCCCAUUUUAUGUGGGACCGUUCAUGUCAGAGUUAAACAAUUUACAAUUUGUUUGGAUGGUGGUUUGUCAUGGUUUCAUAAUGUUCGGCACUGUAUGGUAUUGUACUGUACAAUAUAGUACAAUACAAUAUUUGGGUGAACUGUAUUAUUCACUACUGCUUAAUAACAGUUUUAUUGUUUGGUUUGACGCUAUGGUACUAUAUCGUAACUGAUAAGUUUACUAAAAUGUCCUUAAUUAUUAUAAAUGUUAAAUUUAUCAAUCAUUGCUAAUAAAAUAAUUUUGUUCCUGCUAAUUUGUCACAAAUUAUGCCAUAUAAAUAUAUUAAGUUGUUACUUUCAUGUAAAUUUUAACAAAAUCAAUACAAAAGUAGAUCAAAAUAAAUGUAAUCGGAUUCAUUUUUUAUAGUAAUAAAUUUCAUUUCCUUUUGGUGUUUUGAAACGUGACCACCAACAACAAGUACAACGUUUGAAUGCAUUUUUUGUGUAUGCUACGAGAUGUGUUUGGUAAGGAAUACAAAAAAAAAAAUUCUAGGAAAACAAAUUAUUUCUUACUUAUUUUCUUGUGUUCGUUACGCAAAUAGAAAAUUAUUUUCUAAAAAUAUUUGUAUAUAUUUAACACAAAAAAUGAGGACAAAUAGGAUGAGGGGAUGGGGUAAGAAAAAAAUUAUGAAUUUUUUAUUAAAGAAAUAUUUGGGGAUGGGAUGGUGGAGUAGGGGAUCGAGGGUAGGGGUAGGGGUGAGAUAAGAAAAAAGUUUUGAAUUUUUUAUAAAAUAAAUUAAAAAAAUUUGAAUUUUUUAAAAAAACUUUCUAAAAAUAAAAAUAUUAUAUCGGGAGAGGGGCUAGUGAGUGUGGGAAAGGGGUAAGGGUAGGUGAGGGUGGAGUAAGAAAAAGUUUUAAAUUCAUUUUAAAAUAUAAAACUUUUAAAAAAAAUGGUAAGGGGUGAGUCAGGAUCAGGGUAGGAUAAGGAAAAAGUUUAAAACUUUCUAAAAAAAGAAAUUUAAAAAAUAAUUUUUUUGAGCGGGAUAAAGAAGGGAUUGGCUCUUGACAUGGAGGUUGGGUAGAAGGUGGAGUUAAAUAAUAUAAGGUAAAGGAUAAAAUAAAAUUAUAUAAUAUCAAAUAAGAAUAUAAUUGAAAAAAUUAAUGAGCAAAUAAAAAUACCAUC
This 11447-nucleotide long non-coding RNA is filed under the name Capsicum annuum. RNAcentral's name for it is "long non-coding RNA (CANN_LNC015712)". The record is from RNAcentral. Lineage: Eukaryota; Viridiplantae; Streptophyta; Magnoliopsida; Solanales; Solanaceae.